CUAGUGGCGCACGGGUGCGUAACGCGUGGGAAUCUGCCCUUAGGUACGGAAUAACUCAGAGAAAUUUGUGCUAAUACCGUAUGAUGUCGAAAGACCAAAGAUUUAUCGCCUAAGGAUGAGCCCGCGUAAGAUUAGCUUGUUGGUGAGGUAAAAGCUCACCAAGGCGACGAUCUUUAGCUGGUCUGAGAGGAUGAUCAGCCACACUGGGACUGAGACACGGCCCAGACUCCUACGGGAGGCAGCAGUGGGGAAUAUUGGACAAUGGGCGAAAGCCUGAUCCAGCAAUGCCGCGUGAGUGAUGAAGGCCUUAGGGUUGUAAAGCUCUUUUACCAGGGAUGAUAAUGACAGUACCUGGAGAAUAAGCUCCGGCUAACUCCGUGCCAGCAGCCGCGGUAAUACGGAGGGAGCUAGCGUUGUUCGGAAUUACUGGGCGUAAAGAGUACGUAGGCGGUGAUUCAAGUCAGAGGUGAAAGCCUGGAGCUCAACUCCAGAACUGCCUUUGAAACUAGAUCGCUAGAAUUAUGGAGAGGUUAGUGGAAUUCCGAGUGUAGAGGUGAAAUUCGUAGAUAUUCGGAAGAACACCAGUGGCGAAGGCGACUAACUGGACAUAUAUUGACGCUGAGGUACGAAAGCGUGGGGAGCAAACAGAAUUAGAUACCCUGGUAGUCCACGCCGUAAACGAUGAUAACUAGCUGUUCGG
Molecule: ribosomal RNA, 700 nt
Filed under: uncultured Alphaproteobacteria bacterium
Lineage: Bacteria; Pseudomonadati; Pseudomonadota; Alphaproteobacteria
Description: bacterial SSU rRNA
Rfam family: Bacterial small subunit ribosomal RNA
Source: RNAcentral